GGGGAAUAUUGCACAAUGGGGGAAACCCUGAUGCAGCGACGCCGCGUGGAGGAAGAAGGUCUUCGGAUUGUAAACUCCUGUUGUUGAGGAAGAUAAUGACGGUACUCAACAAGGAAGUGACGGCUAACUACGUGCCAGCAGCCGCGGUAAAACGUAGGUCACAAGCGUUGUCCGGAAUUACUGGGUGUAAAGGGAGCGCAGGCGGAAGGACAAGUUGGAAGUGAAACCCACGGGCUCAACUCGUGAACUGCUUUCAAAACUGUUUUUCUUGAGUGGUGUAGAGGUAGGCGGAAUUCCCGGUGUAGCGGUGGAAUGCGUAGAUAUCGGGAGGAACACCAGUGGCGAAGGCGGCCUACUGGGCACUAACUGACGCUGAGGCUCGAAAGCAUGGGUAGCAAACAGGAUUAGAUACCCUGGUAGUCCAUGCCGUAAACGAUGAUUACUAGGUGUGGGAGGAUUGACCCCUUCCGUGCCGCAGUUAACACAAUAAGUAAUCCACCUGGGGAGUACGACCGCAAGGUUGAAACUCAAAGGAAUUGACGGGGGCCCGCACAAGCAGUGGAGUAUGUGGUUUAAUUCGAAGCAACGCGAAGAACCUUACCAGGUCUUGACAUCGGAUGCAUAGCUAAGAGAUUAGCGAAGCCCUUCGGGGCAUCCAGACAGGUGGUGCAUGGUUGUCGUCAGCUCGUGUCGUGAGAUGUUGGGUUAAGUCCCGCAACGAGCGCAACCCUUACUGUUAGUUACUACGCAAGAGGACUCUAGCAGGACUGCCGUUGACAAAACGGAGGAAGGUGGGGAUGACGUCAAAUCAUCAUGCCCUUUAUGACCUGGGCUACACACGUACUACAAUGGCGUUAAACAAAGAGAAGCGAAGCCGCGAGGUGGAGCAAACCUCAAAAACAACGUCCCAGUUCAGACUGCAGGCUGCAACUCGCCUGCACGAAGUCGGAAUUGCUAGUAAUCGCGGAUCAGCAUGCCGCGGUGAAUACGUUCCCG
This 996-nucleotide ribosomal RNA is filed under the name uncultured bacterium. RNAcentral's name for it is "bacterial SSU rRNA". It matches the Rfam family "Bacterial small subunit ribosomal RNA", at positions 356 to 1376 of the family's 1533-position model. The record is from RNAcentral.